Molecule: unclassified non-coding RNA, 366 nt
Filed under: uncultured bacterium
Lineage: Bacteria
Description: contains 16S-23S intergenic spacer region
Source: RNAcentral
UCCCCAUUAACUGGGGCAGUUCCCUGUGACAUGUAUAACACAGGGUAAGGGUUGCGCUCGUUAACCGACUGAACGGGACACUUCACAGCACGAGCUGACGACAACCGUGCAGCACCUGUCAUCUGGUUCCUUGCGGCACGGCCCUAUUUCUAGGGCUUUCCAGAGAUGUCAAGCCUGGGUAAGGUUCUCCGCUUAGUAUCGAAUUAAACCACACGCUCCACCGCUUGUGCAGGUCCCCGUCAAUUCCUUUGAGUUUUAAGCUUGCGCUCGUACUCCCCAGGCGGCCGACUUAACGCGUUAGCUUCGCUCCAAGAGAGGGUCGAUACUCUCCAAGAGCUAGUCGGCAUCGUUUACGGCGUGGACUAC